This 289-nucleotide small RNA is filed under the name Pan troglodytes (chimpanzee). Its description in RNAcentral is "Metazoan signal recognition particle RNA (ENSPTRG00000043983.1)". The record is from RNAcentral. Lineage: Eukaryota; Metazoa; Chordata; Mammalia; Primates; Hominidae.
GCUGGGCAUGGUGGCUCAUGCCUGUGAUCCCAGCACUUUGGGAGGCCGAGGUGGGUGGAUUACCUGAGGUCAGGAGUUCAAGACCAGCCUGGCCAACAUGGUAAAACCCUGUCUCUACUAAAAAUACAAAAAUUAGGCUGGGAGCAGAGGCUCACGCCUGUAAUCCCAACACUUUGGGAGGCCGAGGCCACCACGACCAGCUAAUUUUUGCAUUUUCAGCAGAGACGGGGUUUCACCAUGUUGGUCAGGCGGGUCUCGAACUCCUGACCUCAGGUGAUCCACCUGCCCU